UAUCUAGACGGAAGAGGAAACAGAUGCUUUAACUGAUGGGAAAUGAAAGCUAGUCUUACUCGUGUUGGUAAAUUGCAUAUGAAGUUGAUUCAAAUGAGAUCAAACCGGGUGAAAAAAAAAGUUGGUGUAAAGAUUGAAUCGUGUUCAUUUAAUGACAUUGGAGGGUAGGUCUGAGAGGUCAGAUCUGGCUGGUUUGAACAUAAAUGAAGUAGAAUAUUUGGGCCUGAUAUGAACAGUUUAAAUACUAAAGUAAAACAGAGGAGAGGUGUAAAUCACUAGACUGAAGCUUGAUAAUGGACUUUCUAUUUCUAACCAUUCCAAUUCUAAACUUGUAAAAAAAUAAAAAUAAAAAGCAACAACAACAAAAAAAACCCCUUACAAUCUUACUGUUUUACCCCACAAAUAAAUUGGAUACUUAAUCAUCA
This is a long non-coding RNA of Octopus sinensis (East Asian common octopus), 425 nucleotides long. RefSeq lists it as uncharacterized. NCBI's taxonomy places the organism in Eukaryota, Metazoa, Mollusca, Cephalopoda, Octopoda, Octopodidae. The transcript has 2 exons. The record is from RefSeq and is a predicted model, not a curated record.